Molecule: long non-coding RNA, 1206 nt
Filed under: Felis catus (domestic cat)
Lineage: Eukaryota; Metazoa; Chordata; Mammalia; Carnivora; Felidae
Description: lncRNA (ENSFCAG00000049876.1)
Source: RNAcentral
AUGGGGGUCUGGCCUCCAGGAACCAGGGAGACCAUUCCCAAAGUCCCGUUCUUUAAUAUUGAGUCCCCAGCCCCUCCUCCCUCAGACCAGCAGUCCAGGCCCCCAGUCCCUCCUCCCUCAGACCAGGAGUCCAGGCCCCCAGUCCCUCCUCCAUCAGACCCAGGAGUCCAGACCCCCCAACCCCCUCCUCCCUCAGACCCAGGAGUCCAGACUCCAGACUCUCCUCCCUCAGACCCAGGAGUCCAGAACCCCCAACCCCCUCCUCCCUCAGACCCAGGAGUCCAGGCCCCCCAACCCCCUCCUCCCUCAGACCCAGAAGUCCUGCCCCCAGCCCUUCCUCCCUCAGACCAGGAGUCCAGACCCCAGCCCCUCCUCCUCAGACCCAGGAGUCCAGGCCCCCCAACCCCCUCCUCCCUCAGACCCAGGAGUCCAGACCCCAGCCCCUCCUCCUCAGACCCAGGAGUCCAGACCCCAGCCCCCUCCUCCCUCAGAACCCAGGAGUCCAGACUCCAGACCCUCCUCCCUCAGACCAGGUUGUCCAGAACCCAGCCCCUCCUCCCUCAGACCAGGAGUCCUGCCCCCAGCCCCUCCUCCCUCAGACCUGGAGUCCAGACCCCAGCCCCUCCUCCCUCAGACCAGGAGUCCUGCCCCCAGCCCCCUCCUCCCUCAGAACCCAGGAGUCCAGACCCCAGCCCCUCCUCCUCAGACCCAGGAGUCCAGGCCCCCAGCGCCUCCCCUCUCAGACCCAGGAGUCCAGACUCCAGACUCUCCUCCCUCAGACCAGGAGUCCAGACUCCAGACUCUCCUCCCUCAGACCCAGGAGUCCUGCCCCCAGCCCCUCCUCCUCAGACCAGGUUGUCCAGAACCCAGCCCCUCCUCCCUCAGACCCAGGAGUCCUGCCCCCAGCCCCUCCUCCCUCAGACCAGGUUGUCCAGAACCCAGCCCCUCCUCCCUCAGACCCAGGAGUCCUGCCCCCAGCCCCUCCUCCCUCAGACCCAGGAAUCCAGACCCCCAGCCCCUCCUCCCUCAGACCCAGGGGCUCUAAUAGCCAAGAGAUGCACCGGGCAAAAGGACUUCUUUCCAGGCCUCAGCAUCUGCUCUGAGCCUGGCUCUGUGCAGGGUGUGGGGUGGGGCUUUACCCUGGAUCCUCCCAGCCAUCCAAAAAAGGAUGGACAUUUAGCCCCAGUUUUCAGAGCAGGAAACUGA